CAGAUAACCUUACUUUCAGAUAACUUUACAGAUAAUGUUUACUUUCAGAUAACUUACUGGAAUAAGGCAGUUACAGCUGGGAGGUAUUGCCUGAUGGACAGAACAGCCAGGGCCUAGGGGAGGGGUGGCAGAGGCUCCAAGUGGCUGGCUCCCGAACAAUCAGGAGGCACCCCCCACUAGAGGAAGGGAGGGCCAAUGAGGAGGCUGGCCAAGUCGCCCCGGCCAUUCCUCCCUCAGGCGUCAUAGAAGACGGCCCUGUGAAUGUCUGAUCAGUACGCAGGCGUGCUGCAGGCCAUAGUCAAGUCGGUGGCCAGGGGGUGUGCGGAGCAGCUUUCCCAGCCCAGUCCUUCCAGUGUGGGAUUCCGGGCUUCCCCUCUGUGUGAUCGAAGUUCGGUUACCUCUGGCGGUGGCGACAAAUCAUGGCGGCCGCUGGGAGGAGCCUCGGAGAGAUCUGGAGGAGUGAUGGAGUUCCUGGGAAAGGCCACCAGGAAGAGUCCGAGUCCGGGAUGUCUUCAGGGCAGAAAAGGCCACGUUGACAGAAAUCAAGUGCGAGACGGAGCAGAAGGGACGGGAGAAAGGAGAAGCUGCUGCUGCUGUGGUUGCCCUCAUUUCGCAUUUUAAUUCAAGAAAGAGAAGUAAGGUGAUGAUUCAGCAAGAUUAACUGGCUCGGAACAGGAGAGAUUCCAUUUACCAAGGGCCACAGGAAAGCCCAAUUGGCAUAGAAUAUAUUAAGAAGACCUGAGUAUAACUGAAUCACUGAUAUUCAAGCAUUGUUGGUCCAUUCACAAGAUGAUAGAAGAGCUUCUUCACAAGACCUUGGACUGGACAUGUGCGUGAUUAUUCUGGGGGUAUUCUCAUGAUAUAAUGAGGGCAAAGAACACUGUGAUGGGACUUCUAGACAUGUUUGAGUGAUGUGGAAUGAAAGGCAAGGAAGGAACAAUGUCUACUAGCAAAAGAGAGGGACAUAUUUUUCUAAAUAUAAUGUACUGUAUUUCUAGGAGAAACUUGACUUUGACCUUUGUUUUGCUGAGCAAUCUUAUUUCCCAUAACCACUAGCUAGAGUUAUGUGAGGGAAAUCACCCAGACCUGUGAUUUCAUUAGCAAAGGUAAUUGGUGAAGAAAGUCCCUCUGCCAGUGCAGAUCAGCAAGUGUUCUGCAACUUAUAGUCUUGAAAAGUCCCUUAUGAUACUGAGAUGUUAAAUUACAUUCCUGAGCCAUGUAGCUAGUAUUUGAUAGAGGCAAAAUUAGAAUAUGGAUCUUUCUAACUCAAAGUCAGAUUCUCCAUCUGCCACUCCAGGAGGGUCUUGACUUUGUGUGUUCACGGGGAGGGGCUGAGAGGAAACCUUUUUGGUGGUCUCGAAGCCUAAGGACUUACUCAAAAUAACAUUUUUAUAUGAUUAAAAUUCAACAUAUAGGAUUCACAUUGUUUCCCCUCUCUUGCCCCCAUUCAAUAAACUCCAUUGUCUUCCUGUUAUGUUCUGUAAC
RNAcentral lists this long non-coding RNA (1485 nucleotides) under Phascolarctos cinereus (koala). Its description in RNAcentral is "lncRNA (ENSPCIG00000016423.2)". The record is from RNAcentral. Lineage: Eukaryota; Metazoa; Chordata; Mammalia; Diprotodontia; Phascolarctidae.